AGCAUUAUACAGCGAAACUGCGAAUGGCUCAUUAUAUAAGUUAUCGUUUAUUUGAUAGUACCUUACUACUUGGAUAACCGUGGUAAUUCUAGAGCUAAUACAUGCUAAAAAUCCCGACUCCGGAAGGGAUGUAUUUAUUAGAUUAAAAACCAAUGCCCUCUGGGCUCCUUGGUGAUUCAUGAUAACUUUUCGAAUCGCACGGCCUUGCGCCGGCGAUGGUUCAUUCAAAUUUCUUCCCUAUCAACUUUCGAUGUUUGGGUAUUGGCCAAACAUGGUCGCAACGGGUAACGGAGGGUUAGGGCUCGACCCCGGAGAAGGAGCCUGAGAAACGGCUACUACAUCCAAGGAAGGCAGCAGGCGCGCAAAUUACCCAAUCCCGAUUCGGGGAGGUAGUGACAAUAAAUACUGAUACAGGGCUCUUUUGGGUCUUGUAAUUGGAAUGAGUACAAUUUAAAUCCCUUAACGAGGAACAAUUGGAGGGCAAGUCUGGUGCCAGCAGCCGCGGUAAUUCCAGCUCCAAUAGCGUAUAUUAAAGUUGUUGUGGUUAAAAAGCUCGUAGUUGAACCUUGGGCCUGGCUGGCCGGUCCGCCUCACCGCGUGUACUGGUCCGGCCGGGCCUUUCCCUCUGUGGAACCUCAUGCCCUUCACUGGGUGUGGCGGGGAAACAGGACUUUUACUUUGAAAAAAUUAGAGUGCUCCAGGCAGGCCUAUGCUCGAAUACAUUAGCAUGGAAUAAUAAAAUAGGACGUGUGGUUCUAUUUUGUUGGUUUCUAGGACCGCCGUAAUGAUUAAUAGGGACAGUCGGGGGCAUCAGUAUUCAAUUGUCAGAGGUGAAAUUCUUGGAUUUAUUGAAGACUAACUACUGCGAAAGCAUUUGCCAAGGAUGUUUUCAUUAAUCAGGAACGAAAGUUAGGGGAUCGAAGACGAUCAGAUACCGUCGUAGUCUUAACCAUAAACUAUGCCGACUAGGGAUCGGACGAUGUUAUUUUUUGACGCGUUCGGCACCUUACGAGAAAUCAAAGUGCUUGGGCUCCAGGGG
Molecule: ribosomal RNA, 1039 nt
Filed under: Akanthomyces lecanii
Lineage: Eukaryota; Fungi; Ascomycota; Sordariomycetes; Hypocreales; Cordycipitaceae
Description: SSU rRNA
Rfam family: Eukaryotic small subunit ribosomal RNA
Source: RNAcentral